This 277-nucleotide long non-coding RNA is filed under the name Canis lupus familiaris (dog). RNAcentral describes it as "lncRNA (ENSCAFG00040017008.1)". The record is from RNAcentral. Lineage: Eukaryota; Metazoa; Chordata; Mammalia; Carnivora; Canidae.
AUGGUGAGGGGACUGGAGGAGUCGGGAUCAUUGUGGGGAGGGGAGAAUGAUUAUGUGCUCUGGGCCCUGUUCCCUCUCUCCUCGCUCCCCCACCAAACUGAGGAAAGAAAGGGGAGGAGGAGUGUGGAGCACCUUCGGCCUUGCCCCAGGGAACCUGGUGACCUCUUUCAGUGCCUGACCUCUGGAGACUGGGAAUCUCAACUUAAAUCCAAAGCAUCUACUCCUGUGCAGGAUAUUUGGAGGAAGAUUCAUCCCAUGAUCUGCAAAUGUCAUGGGA